AACUCUGCGCCGUCUACAACUACUUCAGGUAGCCAGUGCAGUGACCCGCCCCUCUUCUGCUACUCCGCCUCCAAUGUUGCUCUCUCCGAUAACCUCGCAUCCCUCUCGCCGUCUUGCUUCACCAUUAGGACUAUGCCCUGCUACCCUCCUCCCCAUCACGCUGGUAAAUCAUUUCAGUUUCACAAAGAAGCCUGCCAGCCUGGAACAGCCCGACGAAUCACCCUGGUGUCAAUAUGCUUUCUCCGUUGUGUACACCAUAUCAUCUGCGAAAAGUAGUUAAUUUGGUACACAAAUCUCAAACUUUGCAUCCCGAUCAAUGGUGGUAAUUAUUUCAAACUUCCAUGCUUUCAUGGAAGAAUAGUUCUGUUCCCAAAGUACCAUGUUUGUGCUACUUUGUUAUUUAGCAUCUAAACUACAUUACAGUUUGAACUCUAUGCAUUUUGCUUCCAUAGGUUAUUUUUCUUUUGUAUCCAUUUGUACGCUAGUGACACAAUCAUCCAUACCCUUAUUACCCACAAUAUUAGUUGGCUUCAUUUUUAAUUGUUGUAUGCUUCCAUUCGAGCUGCUGUAACAGAUGUUCUAUUUAGAGCCAUGCAUCGUGCAACUUCCACUAGUAGAAAACAGGGCUUUGGUCUUAGCCAGAUCAGAGCAUUAGUCCCGAUCGAGUUACAAACCGGGACUAACGGGUGCAUUAGUCCCGGUUCGAGCGGCCAGGGCGUCGGCUGAGCCUCGGCAGGCACCAGUCUCGGUUCGUCUGACCUCUUUAGUCAUGGUUCCAGACACGAACCAGGACUAAAGGGCCUCGCUCCUGGCGCAGCCUUUUUAGUCCCGGUUGGUGGCUGGAACCGGGAACAAAGGUCAGUCUUCUGUCCCGGUUCUAGCCACCAAACGGGGGUAAAGAGAUGCCUAUAUAUAUGCUCGGCCCUGCCUGCUCACUCCUCUGUUUUUUGGCUGUUCGGCGUGUGGGAGGUGUGUGCUGCUCUACUCUCACCUCCUGUUCACAUGAGGUGUUCGAUCAAAUGCCUGAGCCACACUUAAGAUUUCUCCUCUUCAAACUUGACCUUCAAGCUACAUUUUCCCCAAGAUUUGUCUAGGUUUGGCGGUGCACCAACUACAAAAGUGUUCUAAAAGGGUGUCGUCCCGUCCCCGUCCCUGUCCUCACCGCCAUCGAUCGCCUGCACCGAUCUCGUCGCCGGCACCACCAUGUGCCAUGGUUUUGGUAUCCGCCCCGGUCAGCUCUCAUCCGCUCUAU
Molecule: long non-coding RNA, 1252 nt
Organism: Triticum dicoccoides
Lineage: Eukaryota; Viridiplantae; Streptophyta; Magnoliopsida; Poales; Poaceae
Exons: 4
Source: RefSeq, a predicted model, not a curated record